RNAcentral lists this ribosomal RNA (497 nucleotides) under uncultured bacterium. RNAcentral describes it as "partial 16S ribosomal RNA". It matches the Rfam family "Bacterial small subunit ribosomal RNA", at positions 28 to 507 of the family's 1533-position model. The record is from RNAcentral.
GAUGAACGCUGGCGGCGUGCCUAAUACAUGCAAGUCGAACGAUCAGAAUCGGACCUUCCUCCUCUAACGUUAGCCGCAGAGGGGUGAGUAACACAUGGAAACCAUACAUAUAAACCUGGGUAAACUUCGGGAAACCGGAGCUAUACCGGGAUAAUAUAUUGAACCGAAUGGCUCAAUAGUGAAAGACAGAUUUGCUGUUACUUAUGGAUGGAGCCGCGUCGCAGUAGCUUGUUGGAAAGGUAACGGCUUACCAAGGCGACGAUGCGUCGCGGACCUGAGAGGGUGAUCGGCCACACUGGAACUGAGACGCGGUCCAGACUCCUACGGGAGGCAGCAGUAGGGUAUCUUCCGCAAUGGGCGAAAGCCUGACGGAGCAACGCCGCGUGAGUGAUGAAGGUCUUCGGAUCGUAAAACUCUGUUAUUAGGGAAGAACAAAUGUGUAAGUAACUAUGCACGUCUUGACGGUACCUAAUCAGAAAGCCACGGCUAACUACGUG